UACGGAGGGUGCGAGCGUUGUCCGGAAUCACUGGGCGUAAAGGGCGCGUAGGUGGCGACCCAAGUCGAUGGUGAAAGCUCGCCGCUCAACGGCGAGUCGGCCACCGAUACUGGGUUGCUCGAGCACUGUAGAGGCUAAUGGAAUUCCGGGUGUAGCGGUGGAAUGCGUAGAGAUCCGGAAGAACACCGGUGGCGAAGGCGGUUCUCUGGGCAUUACCUGACGCUGAGGAGCGAAAGUGUGGGGAGCGAACAGG
This 253-nucleotide ribosomal RNA is filed under the name uncultured bacterium. RNAcentral describes it as "partial 16S ribosomal RNA". It matches the Rfam family "Bacterial small subunit ribosomal RNA", at positions 524 to 776 of the family's 1533-position model. The record is from RNAcentral.